CGUCACUCACUGAAUUACACAGCAAAUUGAUACAGAAUAAAGUUACAUAUCUAAUUCAUUUGCAGUGCGUUCACUGCGCUGGAUAGGUUCUCUUGUGCGCUGAGAGCGUGAGACCAGUACGCAGUUACGUAGCUUAGAGGGAAUAUUGUUGCCGUUGCAUCCCCGGUAAACUUAAAUCUAAAUGAAAGAUACCUUUCAUUGUAUUGCCUCGCGUCGGAAACUUCGCUUGUCUCGAAGCAUCAGGCAAUUUCCUAGCUACUGCUGCUCCCUACCGGUAUGGAAGAGUACUACAUGAUUACUAUUCCAGGCGAUCGACCGCACAGGCGUACAUAUUGUUUGAUUUCCCACGGCACACCUGACAAGUGUGCCGCGACACAGGGUUUGAAAAAUAUUGCCAUGAACAUUCACUAGAUAAAAUCGAAAACACCGUGGCGAUUGCUUUGAUAUUGAGGUGAGCACAAGUGAAGAUGUGCAUGUGAAUUUUGGUUGUGAUUAGUCGUCGUUUUGUACCUUUUAGCCACAUUAAGCUUUUUUAUAUGCACAUUCAGUGUUUUAGACGGUCCCAUCAACAAAUAGUAUUCCAUUUGUUUUUCCGUUGGAAAGAUAAUACUUAGCUGCCGUAGACAAUUAGCAUUAGCUUAGCAUAGACUUUUUUGCCAAGCACAACAGAUUCUGCUCGUCAUCCAAAUGACUGAUUCCUCCCUUCCCUACAGAGGAAAACAUUUUAGAACAGUACUCCCUGCAGCUCAGUAUCCUGACCACAAGACGGCAGCCUUGUCCUUCGCCCACUCAUUGCGAAGGCACCCGAGAUGGCACUGACCGGUAUCCAACCUGUGACACUGAAGGUGAUGACAGUACCUCAGUUGUGGCCAAGAGUGAAAGCAAUAUGGCAGGAAUAUUCAAUAUGAUCUGAAAUGCCAACAUCUGAGGCAAUAUAUCCGGAAUGAGUAGUCAUUGUCAUAGAAAUCAACAAGAUCUAAAAAAAAAGGGAAAAGAAAAAAAAUGGCCCAGAUUUUAUUGAAGUCAUUAAACCUUUACUGCAAAUUGAAAAAAAUGGAGUUAGCCCACUCUAGAUCCCAGUGACUCAACUGUUUUCAAGAGAGACGUAAUGACAACCAUAAUUUACAUUCAACAGGUGCAGUAGUUGAUUCAAAAAUAGACGGGAUGGAAAUCCAGACAUGGCAGGACUGGCUACUCAACGGAUUUUUCUGUGGCUGAUAUUAAUAAACAUUUUGACUCUCCAACAAACUCAUGAGAAUGGGAUUAUUAGGACCCUCCUGAGCCCUAC
Molecule: long non-coding RNA, 1288 nt
Organism: Hippocampus zosterae (dwarf seahorse)
Lineage: Eukaryota; Metazoa; Chordata; Actinopteri; Syngnathiformes; Syngnathidae
Exons: 3
Source: RefSeq, a predicted model, not a curated record